GCCCUUUGGCCCCCACUGGCUGCUUCUCCUAUUUCAAUUUCCAUGUCCUCUCGGUUUUGUAACUCAAGGAGCUCCCCUGGCUUAGGAACAGCUGACAACUCCACAGCUCCCAGCAGUGGCACCUGGAGAAGGGGCGGAUGGGCACUGACUUGUGGGCGUGCUCUGGGGCACCCUGUCCCCAGCUGUCAUGAGUCAUUUACAAGCAAAGAACAAGCACAUGACCAAGGACAAAGAGAACAUCUUGACCAUGUAAGUAAUGAUGACCACUCUGUCCCCAGCUCGCGGGGACCCUGAAGACUCCAGGUUGCCUCUCUGUAUUGGCCCCUGAUUCAAACAGAUGGCAGGGGGGUGUGUCUGAAGGAGCUGGGUGCUGAUGUCAGGAGCCCAGCACCCUUGUGGAAGCCAAGAACGACACUGAGGGGGCAAGAAGAGAUUGUGAUGAGCUGAGUGAUGGUGUUGUCUCCCAGCACGCACAAGGGCUGGUGCGGCAGCUGGUGACCUGAGAGGCAGGGCUAGUCCCAGCAGGGAGGUGCUCAUAGAAGGGAGAGAGUUUUGGUGAGGAGAGGUAGCACAGUCAUCCUCCACCCAGUGUGUCCUGGGAGAUGCCUGCGGGGUGGAAGUUGGAUGAUCCGGCUAUGAUUGGGUCAAUCUGAUUCAAGGAGAGGGAGGAGAGGUGACGUGGCCAGAAGGAGGGCAGGAGGGUGGAUGGCAGAGAAUGCAGCCAGCCACCUGGGCCAUCCCCCUGACCUCUGCUCACUCAUCCUUUCCCACCCCUGGGCUGAGGAUGCACCUCGUUAGGUAGUUUUCAGAUGAGUAAACUGAGGCAGGAGCCAUUCCAGGCCCAGAGGGGAGAGCAAGGAAGCCAAGCGUUGUAAUCCCUGGGUUAGUUAUUCAUUCACACCCAGGGGAAAUGCUCCAGCCCUGCCACUCACUAUUUUAAAAGGCUCAAGUGUUCUGAUUCCUGGCAGCGGCAAUGCGGUAAUGCUUCUUUCCUGGUCCCUCCCUGACCCUUUCUGCCCUCAUGCUUGGGGGCUUGGCCCUGCUUUUCCC
Long non-coding RNA from Macaca nemestrina (pig-tailed macaque), 1050 nucleotides. NCBI's taxonomy places the organism in Eukaryota, Metazoa, Chordata, Mammalia, Primates, Cercopithecidae. The record is from Ensembl.